GUUACUUAAGUAAACCCACAUUAAAUAUAUUGACAUAUGCUGCCCAAACUCUCAGAGAAGAAAUUGUGAAAACAUUAAAACCUUUUAUUCCCUAGGAAUACAAAUAUCCACUGUGACCUAAAAUGCUACAACACCUUCAGGGUGCAGAGCGUUUGGGAGCCUUGAUGCUGUUUAUAGAAGGCAGUGAUGUGUUUCCAUUAGACUAUGAAUAAUUUUACAGUCAAGAAAUAUGACUAUCUCAUAUGCUUGCAUUAUAAAUCCAUGACCAUGAGUAUGGGAAUAACCCAAGCUGCAUACACACAAAUAUAUUUUUUCUAUUAAUGUGUGUUUGCUGUCUGUUUCCUUUCUGAUGUCUGCUAAUUUGCUCACAGACAAGCUGUAGCAGGCACUGAAUUGAAAAAAAAAAAGAAAAAGUGAAGAUUUAUGUAAGCCCAGUCUAGAUUUUUCUAUAGUGAUUCUGUUCUGAGUGCAAUUCAAUUCCAUAUGGAUUGUCUAAGGAUUCCUGGGCAGUACUUUGAUCAUCAACUGCCACUGUCCCUAAGCCUCUACCUCCCCCUUUGUAUUCACUGCUGCUGUAGACUCAAUUCUAUGGAUUCUUGUUACUCACUUCCUGGCGCCUCCCGACCCUCUCAGUCAGAAUCUGCAUUUUAACAAAUUUCCCAGGAAUUCAUGUCCAUACCAGCCUUUGAGAAGUUUUGCUCUUGGUCGCCUCUUGGCCUCUCAUAAAGGUAUUCCUCUUCACCUCUCCUGCUUUGUCUCAAGUAUGGACACCAAGGACUGCCUUGCCCCUGUGAUAUAUAAUACAUUUAAUUCAUGGCUUCCAGGGACCGAGGAGCAUAAUAGCAUGAGAACAUUGGAGAGUGUAUCUCAGAGUCUCUGCUCCCCAAGCCUGUCAUGGUUUCUUACAGGAGGACCAUCUCCUUCUCUCAACCUUACACUGAAGCUAUGUUCCUGGAGCCUACUCC
Molecule: long non-coding RNA, 965 nt
Filed under: Marmota monax (woodchuck)
Lineage: Eukaryota; Metazoa; Chordata; Mammalia; Rodentia; Sciuridae
Source: RNAcentral